GAUGAACGCUGGCGGCGUGCUUAACACAUGCAAGUCGAACGAAGCGCUUAGAUCUCUUCGGAGUGAUGAGUGACUGAGUGGCGGACGGGUGAGUAACGCGUGGGUAACCUGCCUCGUACAGGGGGACAGCCUUCCGAAAGGGAGAUUAAUACCGAAUAACAUGAUGUUUUUGCAUGAUUUCAUCAUGAAAGCUCCGGCGAUGAAGGAUGGGGAUGCGUUUCAUUAGGUAGUAGGCGGGGUAACGGCCCACCUAGCCAACGAUGAAUAGGGGUUCUGAGAGGAAGGUCCCCCACACUGGAACUGAGACACGGUCCAG
Molecule: ribosomal RNA, 316 nt
Filed under: uncultured bacterium
Lineage: Bacteria
Description: bacterial SSU rRNA
Rfam family: Bacterial small subunit ribosomal RNA
Source: RNAcentral